GAAAUACCAUAAAAGGUUAGGGGUAAAAUUGGAAUUUCACAUGUGGAAAUACCAUAAAAGGUUAGGGAUAAAAUUGGAAUUUCACAUGUGGAAAUACUAUAAAAGGUUAAGGGCAAAGGUGGAAUUUCAACUUGGAAAUAUUAGGAAAGGUGAGGGGCAAAAUGGAAAUUUCACAUGGGAGCCUUAGUCAUAAAAUCCUAGAAUUCUCUACACAAUUUGAGAAAGAAGAAGAGCAAAGGAAAGAAGAGAAAUCAAGAGAGAAAAUCGGACAAGAAGACCAAAAAAUUACCCCUUCAAAUUUCAUCCCAAAAAUUAUAAUUUUCUAGUAUUCCUACUAAGUCAAGGGUGCUCUACAACAUGGUGUAGUUUUUUUGGAAGAUAGGAGGCUUGUUUGGUUGAUUUGAAGCUUUGGUAAAGUGAAGAAGUUGGAAGGAAAAGGUAAGAAUUAAUCCAAUUUCUUUGUGUUAUGAAGUUUGUUUAUGUUGUAGUAAGUAGAGAUGUGUAGAAUCCAUGGAAAUAUGGAAGUUAUAUGGUUGGAUUUGGACAUAUGAAUAAGUUAUGUGUAUGUAAGAUUGUUGGCAAGAAGACUUGAAUUUUUGUGUAGUAUUUUUGGUGUAGUAUUUGAAUAGUAGUAUGAUAAAUAUUUGAUGUUGAAAAUGGAAGUUGGAUGAAAUUAAUUGAAGUUGGAAAUAUGGGUUAGGUGAUGAAAUGGAAAAAAAAAUAAGUUUGUAUAAUUUGUUAGUUGUUGUUAUGAUUUUUGGGAUAUAAAUGAAGUUUAUAUGGUGUAAGUUGGUAUUAAAAUGGGUUGUAGGAAUUAUGUAAUUUUAGUAUGAUAUUAUAAGAAUAUGGAGGUAAGUUAUUAAAAGUAUGGAUUCUUGUUGUUGAUUAUGAAGUUGAAAGAAGGAAAUGAAUUUGAUUAUGAAGUUGAAAGAAGGAAAUGAAUUUGAUUAUGAAGUUGAAAGAAGAAAAUGAAUUGUAAUAGUUUUGUUGCAUUUAUGGAAUUUUUGGGUGAAAUAUGGAAUUGAUGAAUAUUGAAUAGUUUACUUGGAAUAUUUUUCACCUAUGUUGGAAUGAGUUGAAAUUAAUUAUGAACAUGAAAUAUUCAUAUUUAUUUGGAAAUGCAAAGUUUGGUUGAAAGUUGUUGCACUAAUUGGAAAAUUACAUCAAUUUAUGUUAUGGUGUGUUUAAGUUGAUUAUUGAUGGAAUUGGUGUUGAUGUUGGCUUGGUUGUUGAUAUUGUGGCCGAGUUGUAAUCUCGGGGUUGUCAUAUAUAUAGGGGAGAUGCUGCCGAAAUUUUUGUAGACAAGUAUUGGAAAAAUUGAGUUCUUAAAGUCUUAUGAAUAGUAAUUGGUAAAUGUGACCAAUUGUAGAUUUUGGAGGAAACGGAAAUUGAACUUGGACAACCGUAAAAGGCCAAAAAGGUACCGAAGUUCGAUUUGCUGAUCCACCUGUUUAGGAUAUUUGCUGCGUCGUUGACAGUGCUCCCUUGUUCGGAGCUUGUAUUUUGGUACUGACUUUAUCUCUGUAUAUUUGGAUAUGUUGGUCAGGGGUACGACGGGGCCUUGUCCCGUCAUAUGACUAUGCUAUUAUCUGUAGAGGUCUGUAGACAGAGUUAUGUUGUGGGUUUUGUAUAUAUGGUUUGGAUUUUUGUGUGUUUUGUGACAACCUUUCAACUCUCGUGCGUAUAUCUACUUUUAUGAUAUAUUUAGCAAUUUCUACUAA
Molecule: long non-coding RNA, 1721 nt
Organism: Solanum dulcamara
Lineage: Eukaryota; Viridiplantae; Streptophyta; Magnoliopsida; Solanales; Solanaceae
Exons: 2
Source: RefSeq, a predicted model, not a curated record